CAAAAGAGAAGAGGAGGGAAAGCUUUGGCUCCUGAAGAAUGUUCUGUUUCUCUCCUAGUCAGAAUCAUUUCAGGCUCUAUAGCCCAUCUCUGAUUCUUCACACCUUCCGUGGUCUACGUAAGCUGUCAUUGCUAUCCAUAAUUUCCUUUGUGACACUGAAGGCAUGCAAAACAUAUCUCAUACUGAGUCAGUGUGCCUACAAACCAAGGAGUCAUCACCUUGAGAUGGAAGGACCUCUAGAAAUCUCAAAGGAAGUACCUAAAGCAGGGGAAGAGAGGAAGACAUUGAUGGUGUUAGGGUUGUCAUCAAGAACUAAGGUGGGGGCCUGGUCAGCAGCAAAGGUGGCACAACUCUCCAAAACAGUAGUUGGGCAUAUCCCACUUCGGGGCAACAUUGUUCUAACCUUGGGCCAACUCCUCUAAAUCAGAAUCUAUGAGCUCAGCUAUAGGUCAGAGAGAACCGACAGUGAAAGGUGCAUGAAAAUACAUGAGGCCCUCUCCUGCUGCCACAGAAUUUAAAAACUUUCUUUGACCAGAUAGACAACCCUUGGGAAAGCAAGGAGGAGAAGGAAAAGACUAUCCAUUUCCGUUGUAAUGCACCCCUGUCUUUAUCUAGCAUUCAAUCAAUAAAGACAACUGAAUUGACAAGAAAGUUUUAAAAACAGUUUCUACUGAAUAAAAUAGAAGCCUCAUAUGGGGAACAUAGUGAGAGUUUGUAUCUACAAAAAGUCAGAAAAAUUAACUGGGUUUGGUGGCACAUGCCUGUAAUCCCAGCUACUUGAGAGACUGAGGUGAGGGAAGCACUUGAGCUGUAAUCAUACCACUGCACUCCAGCCUGGGAAACAGAGUGAGACGUCCAUCAAGCAAAUAGAAAGAAACAUCAGAACAUGAUAAAAUCAGCUAAAAAGAAGUAAUAGGUAUGUAUGUGUGUGUGUAUAGAGAGUGCCAUGUAUCUGAAUUAUAGCAUGUAUAUGUAGAUUCUACUACAUAUUUAAGUCUACUCUACUAAUUUGGACUUAGCAUGUGUUCUGUAAUUUUUUUUCCACUUAUCCUCUCAAAUAGAUUUACAAUCUUGGAAAAUACUAUAUUUUACUUCUUGG
Molecule: long non-coding RNA, 1099 nt
Filed under: Callithrix jacchus (white-tufted-ear marmoset)
Lineage: Eukaryota; Metazoa; Chordata; Mammalia; Primates; Cebidae
Description: lncRNA (ENSCJAG00000070616.1)
Source: RNAcentral